CUUGGGUGGUCCUGUGCCAGGAGAACACACUCGUGGGGAUGGAAGGAUGAGACACUGGCACAGGCUGCUUGGGAGGAGGGGCAGCAACAUGGUCCCUCUGAAGGCCCAGGAGAGCAGGGUUCCUGCAAAGCCCCCUGGGAACCACCCCCGCCUUUCCCUAAGCCGAGCCACCAGAUUGCACCCGGCGGCUGUCCCUCCCCCAGACCACGGGCUGGUGCAUUUUUCCCAGCUGAGAGCACUUCACAAAUAUUGACAUGGAGAUGAUGACCAGGCAGGACGUGGUGGCAAGGGGACGCCCCCGCAGCCGGCAAGGAGGGACAUGCCACACAAAGACCCUGUGUCUGUCAUCUGUCCACCGAGCAUCUGUCUGUCCUUGAAGCCUAAGGAGCGAGCUCCCUGCAGAAGAAUUCCUCUGAGUAAACAGCCAGCCUGGACUCAGCACUUCUGGCCGUUCCACACCAGCAGUACCCAAAGCAGCAGCCCACGUGACCACUGGUCAACCCACAGGGAUGUAGAAGGCCAGGCAGAAAGUGUUCACAGCCGUGUGGAGUCCCUGGUCCCAGUCCUACAAGUUCACUCCAGGCCCAAGCCUCCCCUUCUGGUCUGUAUCCCAAGGAUCAGAGACCCAGAAGGGUCAAACAAGAGACCAUACCUGGCUCAGGUCCAGGGUGACGUUGACCUCAUUGUACUCCAGGCCACGGGACAGUGGUGGACUCUGCCACCAUCGCUCUGUGCCAUCGAUGGCGUUGCUCACGGGGUGUGCCUUGUUGCUGUUUACUGACGUGCAGAUGUCACAGUACUGACCCUGUGAGGGAGGGGAGGGUCAGAUGGCUGAUGGCUGGGGCCCUAUGGCCCUUCCAGACACCCUCCCAAACCCCCAAGGGCAUCCCUCCAUUAUUCCACAAAUACACAGAAAACUCCUCUGGCCUC
Molecule: long non-coding RNA, 930 nt
Organism: Erinaceus europaeus (western European hedgehog)
Lineage: Eukaryota; Metazoa; Chordata; Mammalia; Eulipotyphla; Erinaceidae
Exons: 2
Source: RefSeq, a predicted model, not a curated record